UACGUAGGGUGCGAGCGUUGUCCGGAAUUAUUGGGCGUAAAGGGCGCGUAGGCGGCCGAUCAAGUCGGGGGUGAAAGCCUGUGGCUCAACCACAGAAUUGCCUUCGAUACUGUUUGGCUUGAGACCGGAAGAGGUUAGUGGAACUGCGAGUGUAGAGGUGAAAUUCGUAGAUAUUCGCAAGAACACCAGUGGCGAAGGCGGCUGACUGGUCCGGUUCUGACGCUGAGGCGCGAAAGCGUGGGGAGCAAACAGG
Molecule: ribosomal RNA, 253 nt
Filed under: uncultured bacterium
Lineage: Bacteria
Description: partial 16S ribosomal RNA
Rfam family: Bacterial small subunit ribosomal RNA
Source: RNAcentral